AUAAUAUCGGAAUCUUUGAGGGUCCACCUAAUGCUAGAGUUCUCACAUGCAAUUCCAGAGCAAUGAAAGACAACGGAUACUUCCGUGCUGGUCAGAUCAUGGCCAUGUCACUUGCCCAUGGGGGACAGAGUCCGUGCUUCUUAUCUGAUGUUUUGUAUGAAUGUCUUCAAAAGGGUCCAGACAAUGUAAAGGCCAAAAUCGAACAUAUUAGUGAUGAUGAAACAAGGUCACAGGUGCAAUCGAUUUUGGAAGCUGAGACAGACUCGCAAUUGGAAGAUGCAGUUGCUAGGGCAGCCAAUUUAAUUAGUCUUGCUGGUCAUAAUGUGCACGUGACACUGAAAACCAAAGAAGAGACUGCAAUGGACUUGGCUCAUUGGUAUGUCCUCCAGCGGACCCGUGCACC
Molecule: long non-coding RNA, 403 nt
Organism: Clarias gariepinus (North African catfish)
Lineage: Eukaryota; Metazoa; Chordata; Actinopteri; Siluriformes; Clariidae
Exons: 3
Source: RefSeq, a predicted model, not a curated record